ACCGAUUGAAAGAUUAGAGCAAUCGCCAUAUUGUUCUUCUUUGCAUCGUUACUCCCUGGAUCAAUUGUAUCCCAAACUUCGUAUAAACGAAGCAUCACUUUCAUUUGUAUCGACCAUACGGUGUAGUUGGUCGAUGUUAGCAUCGGACAUCGUAUGUCCUUCUUCAUCUCAAGACCUUUAUCACGUGCUUGAAAAUCGUCUCCCAUGUUUUGAUCGAAGUUACAACUCCUCUUGUAAACGACCUUCGAAACCUGGAGCUCUG
Molecule: long non-coding RNA, 262 nt
Filed under: Brassica napus (rape)
Lineage: Eukaryota; Viridiplantae; Streptophyta; Magnoliopsida; Brassicales; Brassicaceae
Description: long non-coding RNA (BNAP_LNC021648)
Source: RNAcentral